Molecule: ribosomal RNA, 447 nt
Filed under: uncultured soil bacterium
Lineage: Bacteria
Description: bacterial SSU rRNA
Rfam family: Bacterial small subunit ribosomal RNA
Source: RNAcentral
AGAACGAACGCUGGCGGCAUGCCUAAUACAUGCAAGUCGAACGAACACUUCGGUGUUAGUGGCGCACGGGUGCGUAACGCGUGGGAAUCUGCCCUUGGGUUUGGAAUAACAGUUGGAAACGACUGCUAAUACCGGAUGAUAUCGAAAGAUCAAAGAUUUAUCGCCCAGGGAUGAGCCCGCGUAGGAUUAGCUAGUUGGUGAGGUAAAGGCUCACCAAGGCGACGAUCCUUAGCUGGUCUGAGAGGAUGAUCAGCCACACUGGGACUGAGACACGGCCCAGACUCCUACGGGAGGCAGCAGUAGGGAAUAUUGGACAAUGGGCGCAAGCCUGAUCCAGCAAUGCCGCGUGAGUGAUGAAGGCCUUAGGGUUGUAAAGCUCUUUUACCCGAGAUGAUAAUGACAGUAUCGGGAAGAAUAAGCCCCGGCUAACUCCGUGCCAGCAGCCGC